Molecule: ribosomal RNA, 460 nt
Filed under: uncultured bacterium
Lineage: Bacteria
Description: partial 16S ribosomal RNA
Rfam family: Bacterial small subunit ribosomal RNA
Source: RNAcentral
CCUACGGGCGGCUGCGGUGAGGAAUAUUGGUCAAUGGACGAGAGUCUGAACCAGCCAAGUAGCGUGAAGGAUGACUGCCCUAUGGGUUGUAAACUUCUUUUAUAAAGGAAUAAAACGAGGCACGUGUGCCUUUUUGCAUGUACUUUAUGAAUAAGGAUCGGCUAACUCCGUGCCAGCAGCCGCGGUAAUACGGAGGAUGCGAGCGUUAUCCGGAUUUAUUGGGUUUAAAGGGAGCGUAGGUGGGUUGUUAAGUCAGUUGUGAAAGUUUGCGGCUCAACCGUAAAAUUGCAAUUGAUACUGGCAGUCUUGAGUACAGUUGAGGUAGGCGGAAUUCGUGGUGUAGCAGUGAAAUGCUUAGAUAUCACGAAGAACCCCGAUGGCGAAGGCAGGUUACUAAACUGUGACUGACAUUGAUGCUCGAAGGUGUGGGUAUCAAACAGGAUUAGAUACCCCAGUAGUC